RNA transcript from Nematostella vectensis (starlet sea anemone), 11992 nucleotides. RefSeq lists it as uncharacterized. The transcript has 28 exons. The record is from RefSeq and is a predicted model, not a curated record. Lineage: Eukaryota; Metazoa; Cnidaria; Anthozoa; Actiniaria; Edwardsiidae.
AAAACCAACAAACCUCUUGUUCAUUCUCGAAGCGACAACCUCGCUUCAACCUUCCCUCCUUUUCGUUUUGAAAGGAGCGAUGAAUGCGUAAAAUACAGCGUUUGUGAAGACACCGUUGUGGUUCCAUGACGUAAUUAUUAUGAUCUUUCAAGAUUUCAUCGUUGUGAUGUCAUGGCCUUCCCUCUGCUACUGAUGAGUCGGGAUCAAACUUCGUCCUCGCUUUGUACAACAUAUCUGACGGGCAUGAAAUUUUAAAUGUAGCAUCCCUCCGUAGAGUCAACUCAAGGGAAGUGACUGCGAUAUGGACUAAAAAGAGAAUAUUCUGGAGUCUUGUGGCUAGUCUUGUGAUGCCUUUACAAGGCUUGUAUCGAUGCCAUUGCGAAGAAAACGUUGGUUUAAUCGAGUGAAUGUUGUGGAAUGUAAUGAAGGCCGAUUUCAGGAACGCAGGUCGCGUUUCGGAUCGGAUCUUCGCGGUGUUAUACAACCUGUGGAUUACUAUCUUCCUGUUCGCCAUCUUUGCUAAAGUAGUUCACAAUGUGGAGUCAACGCCCAGCGCGAAUUUCAGCGAAAAAUGUGUCCUACUAGGGACUCCAGAGCAGAAUGUUACACUCAUGCAAGGCCUGGAUAACCCUAAGAUAACAACGCGGGUUCUUUCCCAUGUGGGAGGUAUACAAGAAUGUGUGGAGGCUGCGUGCAAGCAGGACAAUAUCUCUCUGAUCUACCUAUCUCGCAACACAUGCUUUGGAGUGGAUUGUCAUGGGCAAAAAGAGGCAUGUCGGUUAUCGCCAAGUUUUGAUAAUCCUUCGUUUGUUUUUGCGAGAGUGCAAAGAACUCUUUCUGUGGGUGAUCCGUUAAAGAUCGAAACAGUAAGAAAACGAAGAGAAGAAAAGAUUCAAGCAGAUUCCUUAUUUAGCGAUUCUCACGAUACCUCGCACCAAAGUAAUAUUAUCCCUGAAUCAACGAUCGGUACUUCUUAUAUAAGAACAAUAGAUAAAAGAUCUUCUUACAGCAUGGACGAUUCUUCGUCGCCCCCGUAUUUGCGUAAAAGGAGGCGAAAAAUCAUAGAGGUCCAAGAUAGGGGAUUCCUCUCAAAUAAUGAUCAAGGUGCGGAUGAUGACGAUGUAUUGUUGAUUGAUGCUUUGAAACGCUUUAAAAGAGAGGAUGUUGACGAUGAUGAGGAAAAGCCGUGGGUAGGAGACAAAGCCAGUUCUUUGGUUACGACAGAUACAGAAGGACUAAAUGAGAAGGAGGAAGUUGUUGAUAAGGAAAGGCUGCGCAGAUUUAAAAGAACUGAUGAAGAUGACGAUAACGAUGAUGAUGAUGAUGAAACUAAAACACUGAAUAAAAUUCUCUCCUCAAAAUCAUUAAGUAAUGACAAAGUGGAAAACACGAGAACAAAGCAAGCAAAUAAAAUGAAUCAAAAUUCUGCAUCACUUUCGGCUAUACAAGAGACAAAGACCUUAAGAAAGGAAAAGCCAAUAAUUGAGGCAUCGGAAUCCAUACAUGUUACUGGGAAUUUAACCAAAAGGCCAAACAAGAUUGCAUCUAAUCAUACAUCUUUCUCUACGAAAAAUGGAAAUUCAGACAAUGCAGUUAAAAUUUCUGUGCAGCAAAAGUUAAUUAAUGCUGGGGUCAGCAGUUUUUUAAUAGAGAAACAAGCAAGAACACAAUCUGUAUCAUCAGAAAGCCAUAUCCAGAUACCGACACCAGGAGGGACAUCACAAGCUUUAUCAACGAGCGGCAAUUCGUCUUCACCAUCGUCGUCCAAAAUACAAUCGUCAGGAUCAAUUACGAUUUCUAAAUCACCUGCCGAUAAAUCAAUGGGUAAACAAAGACAGGAACAAAACGGCAAAAAACAUAUGAUUCCACAGUCCACCUCGACAGAAAGUCGAGUUUCGAUUUCGCUAUCAGGUAGUCAGCCGCAGUCGUCAACAUCUUCAUCAUCUUCCAAUUCCCAAUCAUCGUCAUCAUCAUCAUCAGCAUCAACAUCUGCAACUAUUUCGAUAUCCAAAUCAUCAGUAGACAAAUCAACAAAAAAACAAGGACACGGCAAAGGAAAGAGCAACAAACGUAUGAUUCCACAGUCAUCUACAGAGAGUCAAGUUUCGAUUUCCGUGUCAGGAAGUCAGCCACAGUCGUCAACAUCUUCAUCAUCUUCUAAUUCCCAAUCAUCACCAUCAUCAUCUUCGUCGACGACAUCUGCAACUAUUUCGAUAUCCAAAUCGUCAGCAGAUAAAUCAACAAGAAAACAAGGACAUGGCAAAGGAAAGAGCAACAAACGUAUGAUUCCACAGUCAUCUACAGAGAGUCAAGUUUCGAUUUCCGUGUCAGGAAGUCAGCCACAGUCGUCAACAUCUUCAUCAUCUUCGAAUUCCCAAUCAUCACCAUCAUCAUCUUCGUCGACGACAUCUGCAACUAUUUCGAUAUCCAAAUCGUCAGCAGAUAAAUCAACAAGAAAACAAGGACAUGGCAAAGGAAAGAGCAACAAACGUAUGAUUCCACAGUCAUCUUCAGAGAAUCAAGUUUUGAUUUCCGUGCCAGGAAGUCAGCCACAGUCGUCAACAUCUUCAUCAUCUUCUAAUUCCCAAUCAUCACCAUCAUCAUCUUCGUCGACGACAUCUGCAACUAUUUCGAUAUCAAAAUCGUCUGCAGAUAAAUCAACAAGAAAACAAGGACAUGGCAAAGGGACGAACAAUAAACGUAUGAUUCCACAGUCGUCGUCUGCAGAAAGUCAAGUUUCGAUUUCGAUAUCAGGUAUUCAGCCGCAGUCGUCAACAUCUUCAUCAUCUUCUAAUUCCCAGUCAUCGUCAUCAUCAUCCUCAGCAUCAACGUCUGCAACCAUUUCGAUAUCCAAAUCAUCAGCAGAUAAAUCUACCCAGAAGCAAACAAAAUCAAAGCCAAGACCGGCAAAACGGUCCUACCCCCAAUCGACAGAUACGACACAUACAAGUAUUCAGAUUUCUAGUAAUGGAAGUCCACAGACAUCUGUAAGUAGCACAAGCUCAUCGACAUCUACAAACUCGGGGUCAUCACAAUCGUCCAAAACAUCACAAACAACAUCCAUAACAAUAUCCGAUAAAUCAUCAAAAAAGUCCUCGUCUAAAGACCCAAAAAAAUCAUCACUGCUUCCCUUCUUAAAUAAGGCAGCCAUUCGUGGGUCAUCACCUGAGAUGCCAAGGAAAAAGUCGGACAAAGAAAUAAAUAAAAAAUUGCGACUUAAGGAAAUAAAGCUAAAGGAUGUGGACACUAAAGGAAGAAAACGUUCACCACAAACCACGCAGACGACUAAUAUCCAAAUAUCUGCUCCAGGGGGUAGAACGUCAACCUCAUCGACGUCCACAUCUAGCUCCUCGACAUCACCUUCUUCCUCGUCCUCUAAAACAUCUUCCACGACGACGAUAAAUAUAACAAAUCAGGACAAAUUUCAAGGAAAAAAAAGAAAAAAGAAAACGUCAGGUGAUUCUAAAAUGCACAGAAGGGAUGCUCCAAAGCCUUUAUUAGCCAACGUAAAAACCCAUGAGAGGUCAUCAGGAUUUUCAUCAAAAACCUCAUUAUCAUCAUCUCCAGUGGCUGCAAAUAGCUCAUCAUCGAGUAAAAGACCGGAUGUUCCGCAAUCUUCAUCGAGACAGAGGCAAGUCCAUGUAUCUCCUGCUCCGUCAUCAACAUCAUCGUCAUCAACUAGCACAUCAGCAAAUCCUUCCUUAACUUCUCCAAUUAUGGUGGCGUUAAACGCAAAAUCAGACAUGACAAAAAAGUCAAUUAAACACAAGAAGGCCGCGAGCGACAAGAAUGGCGAUAAGAAAACCUCAACGUCUUUAAAGAAGACACAGCACGCAAGGUCAACCAAAAUGAAAAAGCAAAAUAAUCCAUCAUCGAAGACAAAGCCAACAAAGCGUCAAUCAGAGCCCAAUGAUUCAUCAGUAAAAUCUCCAGGUGAAAAGGACGAUAAGAUUCGCCGACAAGUGUGGUAUGGUCCUAGGAAUAACCCUAGCGGAAUAACACUACAAGAAGUCGGUCCAUUUUCGAGAUCUGCGUAUUCUGGGCAACCCUCAAGGUUCAGCCAACAACUAUCACCAAGAAGUUACACAUCCUUUCAAGAUAAUCCAAUCAACAGGAUGACCAUGCAGCCCCAACCUGGCAGUAUUGACUGGAGAACAAAUCCGCAGAGAGCAAUAACCCGUAUUGAGUUCCCGAUAACUGCCGGGGGGUACGGUGUCGGGAUUCCAACACUACGACCUUAUAUUACAUCAUCAACACAUGGUCCCAGUAAACCUCUCAUUCCCUUAAACACAAUCCGGCCAUACAUGGGACGAGAGACAUUCCCCAGGAAUCAACUACCACGGAUUCAGAUGAGCAAUACGUACGUAGAACGAACCAGGUUUCCUAGCCUGUCCGUUAGACCUGCAGUAACAGGAAUGACACCAUUGAUGGAGGCUGUUGUCAAUAGUCGUGAAACUAUAGGAAGCUACGGUAGAGCUGGCUCUGAUACAUUAGAACCCAGUUGCCGCGCGGCCGUGGGGAUACAGAGCGGUGCAAUACAAGACUCGCAGAUGACGUCAUCUAGUGAAUUCUCAAAAUUCCAUACGGCAAGUCGAGGAAGACUGCAGAACACGGCAUCUUCAGGGGGUCUCGCCGGGGCCUGGUGCUCAGGUGGUGAUCACGUGGACAAGGCCCAGUUCCUUCAAGUCGACCUAGGCAAGCGCAGCCGAGUCUGCGGCGUGGCUACCCAGGGCAUGCACGAGCGUCCACUCUGGGUGACGUCAUACACUCUAGAGUUUAGUAAUAAUGGCCGCAUAUGGGCGGACUAUACGGAAAGCGGGCAUCUUAAGCUUUUCAACGGCAAUUUCGACCAAGACUCGAUCGUGACAAACCCCCUCAAACAACCAAUCACAGCCCAGUACGUGAGAGUAAGGCCAAGGUCGUGGAAUGGUGCCAGUAUCUGUAUGCGAGCAGAGCUGUAUACGUCACAUGACGAGCAGUCACGUGACAAUGCUCGUGACAAAAUUCCUGAAAAGGGGCUAAUAGUGUAUUUGGAUUUCGAUGGUGAAGCCGCUGGCCUGUACCGUCGUAUGGAUAUCAGUAGGGCUCCCGGAGUGUGUGGUGACGUGGCGCGCAUGCGUGAUGGCGGGAGCGUUGCGUUAGACGGCAGUCAACUGAAGACAAAACCCGGUGCUGCCGUUACCAUAGCAGCGUGGAUUCGAUUGGAGGACACAAAUGGAGUACAUACCAUAUUUGGCACGUCCGGUGAUCACGUGGAUGUGGCUGAUGGUCAGGUGAUCAGUAGUGGAGGUCAGUAUCGACUGGAGGUACGCGACGGAGCUGUCAAUUGGUAUCAUAGCAACAGCGAUACGGGUGACGUCUUCAAGAUUAAAACAGAGCCAGUGAUUAAAGCUAAGAAAUGGACUCACAUUACUGGAACCUACGAUGCACAUACGGGACUCGCCAAGGUGUACACCGAUGGUCACGUGACUGCACAGGCUCAUGGUACUGGUCAGCUUUCCGACGACUGGGGAGAUCAAGCGACUGUUGGUAGAACAAAAAAGGGAGAUUUCCUUGAUGGGACUAUUGACGAGUUUAGGGUCUACAACAGAGCCUUAGGGGACGCCGAAAUACAAAAUCUCAUUAAUAUGUGUAACUACAGUCAAGAUUGUGGAUCGACUUUAAGAGCGUCAGAAGGCACCAUCAACUCCCCCAACUGGCCACAGGGCUACAAAGGCAGCAAGACGUGCACGUGGCGAAUCUCCGUCAACCCCUCGGACAGCAUCGCGCUUUUCUUCAACUCCUUCAACCUUCAGGAAGAUGGAAACUGCGAUAAAUCCAAGCUGGCGGUUCGUGACGGUGGGAACGAGAGCGCGCAUGAGAUCGGCGCAUUCUGUGGCCUAAACAGCCCGCGUGUGAUGCGCUCUAAGGGAGGGGAGCUAUGGAUUCAGUUUACGAGUGCUGACGACGGAGAGGGGAAAGGCUUCCAUCUGACAUAUAAAGCAGAGCCAAAUCGCGAGACCAAGAAACAAGAGGAGCCGGUUCCUCCCUCUAAAAGCCCCCAAUGCUACGUCUCCACCCCCGAACACAACGUCACCCUGACAGGCGGCAUCAAGUCGGGAGUAUUCACGGAGGCACCUGAGGCCUCCAGCCUCGACACAUGCACACGAGCGUGCUGCCUGAAGCCUUCCUGUGACAUAUCAUUCAUGAUCAGCUCAAGCUGUUAUCUCGUGACGUGUUAUAGCGAAGAGCUGUGCAAGACUAAGCGAGCAAGGGCUUCAAGUUUGCAUCCGACCAUCGUGUUUCUACGACACACGGAUAAGGGCCAGAAACAAAUAGGUCAAGAUCAACUACUAAACAACGAUGCUCUGCAGUACAAUCCUACCCAACCCCACCCCCAAAGGGAACAAAAAUGUCACCACACCGAAGUUAGCCACAAUGUAACGUUGGUUGGGGGAAUAAAGGCGGGAAAAUUCAACACGUACGGCCGCAUGGAUAACAUGGAUGACUGUAUACGUCACUGCUGCCAUGACGACAAGUGCAACGUAGCAUUCAUGAUUCAGGGUAACUGUUAUUCGGUGGACUGUGUGGACAAGGUGGGAUGCGCAAUGAAGCGCGCAAAGCCAUCGCCGUACAACCCUACGCUGGCGUAUGUGUACCGAGGAAUGCAGAAGCCUAUAGCUGAACCACUCAAGAAGCCAUCUCAACCCAACAAGCAAGCGUGCGACUCAUUCGAUGUAUCAUCCACCCUAUCCAACGUGACCCUAGAAGGGGGAGUCAAGUCUGGCAAGUUCACGGACCGUGGAGUAGUGGGUAGUAUGGAGGAGUGUCGCUCAUUCUGUUGCGCCGAGGACACGUGUAAUGUUGCGUUCACCAUCCGCUCAAACUGCUUCCUCGUGGCGUGCAAGGAUUACGAUUCUUGCAAAGUGAAGCCGGCUCUCUCCGAUUACUAUCACCCCAGGCUCGCGUACGUCAAUUGGAGUCCACCAGACGCCGAGGUGCCAGCUGGCUCUAAAUUCGCUUCGCUGGGUUGCUGGAGGGAUACAGAGGGCAUCGCCAUUCCGUCCCUCGAGGGAGCCGAGACCACGCUCAUGGAUACGUAUGACAUGCGGCCUAAACCAAUCGACACAUGCGCAAACGCAGCCUCUAAACAUGGCUACAAAGUGUUUGCUAUUCAGCGUGGCGGGGUUUGUCUGAGCGGUCCCCAUGCCGAGGAGACGUUCAACAAGUUUGGCGAGUCUUCUGACUGCAAGGAUGGCCGAGGAGGGAAGUUUGCAAACGACGUGUACAGACUCAACCCAGAUGCUUCCUACACACCUAUUGGUUGCUGGAGAGACUCUUCCCAGCGUGCAUUGCGAAGCAUGGAACACACGGACACUAAGCUCGACGACUUCUACCUGUCACGUGACAGCCCCAUCGAGAAAUGCGCAAGUGUGGCACAGAAACGAGGCUACCCAGUCUUUGCACUGCAGAAUGGCGGGGAGUGUUACAGUGGACCUGGGGCCGAAACAGAGUAUACCAAGUUUGGUGUGUCACGUGACUGCAGAGGAAAGUUGGGUGGACCAUAUGCGAACAGUGUCUUCCGACUGAUAGGAAAAUUCGAUUCCGAGAAUGUUCCUACCAUCGCUAACACGACAGACUCGGAUGGCUCUACAAAACAAAGCAUGUCUAAGCCAAACGCAAGCGGGACUUUCGUCGUCGACAAAGCCCCGGCAAGUGACGAACCAACACCGACAAAUUCCGGGGUUUCUUCGAGCGGUACCGGGAGCUCAACCGACGAGUUAUCAAGCAUGCAGGAGGACUUUGUUACAAUGCAAAACGGAGUCCCGAAGCGUAUCCACUACACUGCUGGCCCGAUACACGAAAACGUCACGCUGAAAUACGGAAUUAGCUCCGGCAAAUUCAUGGACCAAGGCAGGGUUCGAACUAUCCACGAGUGCAUCCGAAUGUGCGGCCGACAGCCCGAUUGUGACCUCGCAUUCAUGCUUGGUGUCCAGUGCUUCUCGGUUGGGUGCAAAUCCAAGUCGCUAUGCGUCACCAAGCCGGCGUUCUCGGCGUUUUAUAAUCCCAAGAUCACAUUUGUCACGCACAGGAAAGUCUUCGAGGCCGUCUCCUCGCAUAAGCGAUGUCAGUCCAGUUUUAUAGAGAAUGACGUUACACUACAAGGAGGCAUCAACGCCGGCAAAUUCACGGACCUCGGUCAGAUGACCGAUAUGCGAGAAUGCGUCCAGCGGUGUUGUGCCAAGAGCACAUGCGACGUAGCGUUCAUGCUGGAGGACGAAUGCUAUGGCGUUAGCUGUAUUAGUAAUACACUUUGCAAGACACGGCCCGCUAGGAACCCCGGGAGAUAUAAGCCGAAAGUGGCUUAUGUCUACCAUGACGGUAAAGGGCUGGAUAGCGCAGAAGAAUUGACGAGAAACGACACUGCUACUCGCACGAGAGGAAGCCACUACAAACUGUCAAAUAACUUGAAAAGCCUGUCAAACCUGUCUGAUGACCUGAAAAACCUGUCAAACCCGACUAACGGCCUUAAAAACCUGUCAAACCUGACUGAUGAUCUACAGCACCUAUCAAAUCAAAACACCCUGUCAAACCUGAGUAAUCAGAUGAUGUUUAAGGCAUCGUCCCAGCAUCUAACACCGCUAAACAUCCAGCCCAAUAAUACUAUUAGCGCCAUUGACCCAGACCACAACACUACAGAUCUUGGCAAACUUAAAUUACUGACAGCAUUACAAAUGACCGGAACGAUGACCAAUGACCAAUCACUUAGUACUGAUAACAGCAUUAGGAAAUGGGACAACAAUUUCGGAAACUCCCAAAAUGUUACACACGACACGUAUGAUAAAACAUCUCGAGCGAACCUAAGUCUAAGCACGAUUCAGAUGAUGAAUGCUACUAACACUAAGGAGACAAAUUUACAAGGACUUUGGAUGCCUAUAAAACUACUGCACGAAGAUACAGCUAUGGGAGGCACGGGGUCUAAGAAAGCAGCAAUAAAGAAUUUAAACGACUAUUCAAUUAAGAUGCCUGUAAAGGGCAUGUAUCUGCAUCGGGUUGACCAUACUAGGAGGCCAAUGGAAAAUGAAACGGUCGUAUUAAACACAAAAACAGACAACGAAGAGGCCUCUAAGAACAUAAACGCAGGCAUAACAAUCUUCCAUGACUUAACGAAAAACGCAAAAGUCAUUGGGUCGCCACCUGUCGUAGAUAACAUAACAAGAGACGCAGCGACUGACGCUAAGAGCAUAAGCACAGAUGUUAAAACUAUUUAUGACUUAAAGGGAAACGCAACAGUCGCUAUGACGCUACCUAUCGUAGGAAACAUAACAAGAGUCGCAGCGACUGCUAAGAACGUUAACGCAGACGUAACAAUCGAUUUAACAGCGAUCAAUGUCAGCAAGACCGAGGGCAGCGCGAUGUCACCCACAGGGUCCCCGCCCAAUGAUACACACGUCUGCUGGGACAGUGACGUGCUUUAUAACCAGACGCUGAUUGGUGGAAUUAACGCGGGAGUUUUCACGGACAAUGGAAAGGCGUCCACGAUGGAUCUGUGUAUGCAGUUUUGUUGCAAGCGUAAGGAUUGCGACUUGGCGUUCAUGAUCGAGGAUGAUUGUUACUCUGUAGCGUGUAGCAGUACGAGGUCGUGUAAGACGAGGAAGGCAAGGCCUACGCAGUUCUAUCCACGCAUCGCCUUCACGCGUAAAUUCCGAGGAGAAGCGUCGAAGGCAGUUAGUGGUUUAGUAUCAGGAGACACCAUCACGCCCGAAACAGCGAGCAGCGAUGACGCAGCGGACAGCGGGAAGCCUUCACCCACCACCGAGCCAACGGCUGGCAUGAGUGUAAAGCAACCAAUCAAAGUCCAUCAUUCCUGCUCGGCCACCCCAAUCAAGUACAACGUCACGCUCCGUAUGGGCCUUCACUCGGGUCUCUUCACCAAAAUGGGACGCGUAGACAGUAUGGACGACUGUAUCGAGCUCAGCUGCAAGAAAGACAAGACGGACGUCGCCUUCAUGAUGGGGCAGCAUUGUUACUCGGUGCAGUGCUACAGUGAAGACCUGUGUAGGACGGAGCCUGUCUAUGGGACUACCAUUUCGGGGCUUAACUUGACGCCGGCAGUAUCGUUCUUGAGGAAUAACCCUGGCACUAGCGGCACAGAGCUUGCUUACCAAGACAAUCCCCGAGAGCAGUGCCUCGGUUCCAGCAUCACCUACAACGUCACCCUCAGAGGAGGCAUCAAAGCAGGUAAGUUCCGCGAGCAAACAGACGUACGGAGCAUGCGCGACUGUGUCUCAAAGUGCUGUGACGAGUCCUCAUGCGACCUGGCCUUCAUGUUCGGCGAGCGCUGCUAUUCGGUCACGUGUCAAAGCGAGAAGCUCUGUCAAGCGGUGAUGGCGAAACCGACCAAUCUCCAGCCCAAGAUAUCCUACCUCAGCAAAAACUACGGCGGUGAUAGAGGCAUAAGCCUGGCAGAGACGGGUUUAGACACCAAGCAGCCAACUUGCAAGGAGGACGACAUCGCGCGCACUCACAUCGCGAGAAAUAAGACUCUCGCUGGCGGACUUGAGGCAGGAACCUUCAAGUUCUUGGGGAAAGUCAAAGCGAUGAAGAGCUGUAUGCGCAUGUGCUGUGCGCUCAGGUCAUGUGACGUGGCGUACAUGUUCGACAGAAAUUGCUUCUCGAUCUCGUGUUUUUCCCCGGACUUAUGUCACGUGACGGACUUCCCGACAUCCAACGGGGACGUUGAAAUCUCCACCAUGGUCAAAACCGUUAAGAAGGAGAAGUUGCCUGAAGAAACACACUCCGUCAUCGUGUACAUUGUAGUCGGCGCUGUGCUCCUACUUGCAGGCGUGGCGGGAAUAGUUUGGGCCGUCUGUAUGUUCCUUAGGAGGUACGAACUGCUGGAAUGCCGCGGUAACCGUUAAAGAGAAGUGAAACUAUCCGAAGAACGAAUAGUUUUGAUUUCGAGGACCAAACGGGAAUAGGGUGGCGGAAGUCAAUCAGACAUCGCUUGAAGAUGCGGCACCAGCAGAGGAGAGAUAGCACGUGAUCAACACAUGACGCCUGAUGUGAAACCAAAAUCACAAGAUACGCACCUAACCGGAGCCAUCUCACAACCUACUCCAGCGGCGCCACCACAACAAGCGCAUCUCAGUGACACCUAACAGCGCUCUACAUAUGUACAGUUAAGGAGACAAAUAGAACAGAUCGUAGUGUAUAGACAGGAUAUACAAAGUACACGCCUUCCAGCAACACACCAUAUAAGAACAUUCAAGCAACGGUGACAACGGCGUCAUGGAGAACGUGAUCCAAAAUAUUCGUCCAUGCUUAGCGAUCAAUUCUCAACUUUUAGUCCCAAAUACGCAAAGAUAAACUCAAACUUGAUUUCCACAAAGAUAGUUUCGCUACAGCGAGUCCAUACUCGUCCUUGCAAGAAGAUUUUUCCCAUCGAGGUCAGAGGGAAAGCGGUUGGGAUGUAUCUGAGCGCGUUUCACGUCUGGCUAUUUGAAAUUUCCAUUUUUUCUGACAUCAUUGCCGUCCCUGAUGCCGUCGUCGUUGAUCAAUUCCCUGUUACUAGGAUGCAAAGUCUCUGAGCUUUUGCUCACAAAGUAACAACUAGGCGAAAUACUGUUGUAGAUAAAAACUAUACACAUCGUGUUUGAAGCGGAAACAAUCAUUCCCAAAUCUAGAAUUUGCAAGUGACAUUAGAUCAAUAAGACAUACAUGCGAGUUUUUGCAUGAUAACGCUUGAUUGGUCAAUAAAAUUGUGGCUUCGAUCACUGCAUGAUUUCAGUAGAUACCUGCAUGAUUUCAGAAAUCGAUUUUUUAUAUGAGUCUGACGCAGCUUGGCAAAGUAGGCAAUGAUUGGCUACAAGGUCACGUGACGAGUAUGGGUGACUUCUACAGUAUGUAACUUAACGAAGUCCAGUUUUAAUGGACGUGAAAUUACAACUCAUUGUAAAUUCCGUAUUAAAAAUUUGAGUAUCAUUUUUUUAAUAAAGAUCUUCCACAAACA